RNAcentral lists this ribosomal RNA (223 nucleotides) under uncultured bacterium. RNAcentral's name for it is "partial 16S ribosomal RNA". It matches the Rfam family "Bacterial small subunit ribosomal RNA", at positions 114 to 334 of the family's 1533-position model. The record is from RNAcentral.
CGCGUGAGGAACCUGCCUCAAAGAGGGGGACAACAGGUUGGAAACGACUGCUAAUACCGCAUAAGCCCACGACCCGGCAUCGGGUAGAGGGAAAAGGAGCAAUCCGCUUUGAGAUGGCCUCGCGUCCGAUUAGCUAGUUGGUGAGGUAACGGCCCACCAAGGCGACGAUCGGUAGCCGGACUGAGAGGUUGAACGGCCACAUUGGGACUGAGACACGGCCCAG